UACGAAGGGGGCUAGCGUUGCUCGGAAUUACUGGGCGUAAAGCGCACGUAGGCGGCUUUCUAAGUCGGGGGUGAAAUCCUGGAGCUCAACUCCAGAACUGCCUUCGAUACUGGAGAGCUUGAGUCCGGGAGAGGUGAGUGGAACUGCGAGUGUAGGGGUGAAAUUCGUAGAUAUUCGCAAGAACACCAGUGGCGAAGGCGGCUCACUGGCCCGGUACUGACGCUGAGGUGCGAAAGCGUGGGGAGCAAACAGG
RNAcentral lists this ribosomal RNA (253 nucleotides) under uncultured bacterium. Its description in RNAcentral is "partial 16S ribosomal RNA". It matches the Rfam family "Bacterial small subunit ribosomal RNA", at positions 524 to 776 of the family's 1533-position model. The record is from RNAcentral.